CUACGUGCCAGCAGCCGCGGUAAUACGGAAGGUCCAGGCGUUAUCCGGAUUUAUUGGGUUUAAAGGGAGUGUAGGCGGUUUGUUAAGCGUGUUGUGAAAUUUAGGUGCUCAACAUUUAACUUGCAGCGCGAACUGUCAGACUUGAGUACACGCAACGUAUGCGGAAUUCAUGGUGUAGCGGUGAAAUGCUUAGAUAUCAUGAAGAACUCCGAUUGCGAAGGCAGCAUACGGGAGUGUAACUGACGCUUAAGCUCGAAGGUGCGGGUAUCGAACAGGAUUAGAUACCCUGGUAGUCCGCACAGUAAACGAUGGAUGCCCGCUGUUAGCGCCUGGCGUUAGCGGCUAAGCGAAAGCAUUAAGCAUCCCACCUGGGGAGUACGCUGGCAACGGUGAAACUCAAAGGAAUUGACGGGGGCCCGCACAAGCGGAGGAACAUGUGGUUUAAUUCGAUGAUACGCGAGGAACCUUACCCGGGCUUGAAUUGCAGAGGAAUUAUUUAGAGAUA
Molecule: ribosomal RNA, 505 nt
Filed under: uncultured bacterium
Lineage: Bacteria
Description: bacterial SSU rRNA
Rfam family: Bacterial small subunit ribosomal RNA
Source: RNAcentral